GGGGAGUCAGGUGGCUGAGCGGUUAGAGAAUCGGGCUAGUAAUCAGAAGGUCGCUGGUUCGAUUCCUGGCCGUUGCAAAAUGACGUUGUGUCCUUGGGCAAGGCACUUCACCCUACUUGCCUCAGGGGGAAUGUCCCUGUACUUACUGUAAGUCGCUCUGGAUAAGAGCGUCUGCUAAAUGACUAAAUGUAAAUGUA
Osmerus eperlanus (European smelt) is the source of this 197-nucleotide long non-coding RNA. RefSeq lists it as uncharacterized. NCBI's taxonomy places the organism in Eukaryota, Metazoa, Chordata, Actinopteri, Osmeriformes, Osmeridae. The record is from RefSeq and is a predicted model, not a curated record. The transcript has 2 exons.